RNAcentral lists this transfer RNA (77 nucleotides) under Ilumatobacter sp. RNAcentral describes it as "tRNA-Val". It matches the Rfam family "tRNA". Rfam says of the family: Transfer RNA (tRNA) molecules are approximately 80 nucleotides in length. Their secondary structure includes four short double-helical elements and three loops (D, anti-codon, and T loops). Further hydrogen bonds mediate the characteristic L-shaped molecular structure. tRNAs have two regions of fundamental functional importance: the anti-codon, which is responsible for specific mRNA codon recognition, and the 3' end, to which the tRNAs corresponding amino acid is attached (by aminoacyl-tRNA synthetases). tRNAs cope with the degeneracy of the genetic code in two manners: having more than one tRNA (with a specific anti-codon) for a particular amino acid; and 'wobble' base-pairing, i.e. permitting non-standard base-pairing at the 3rd anti-codon position. The record is from RNAcentral. Lineage: Bacteria; Bacillati; Actinomycetota; Acidimicrobiia; Acidimicrobiales; Ilumatobacteraceae.
GGGCGUGUAGCUCAGUUGGUUAGAGCGCUACCAUGACACGGUAGAGGUCCCGGGUUCGAGUCCCGUCAUGCCCACUA